This 251-nucleotide ribosomal RNA is filed under the name uncultured bacterium. RNAcentral describes it as "partial 16S ribosomal RNA". It matches the Rfam family "Bacterial small subunit ribosomal RNA", at positions 525 to 775 of the family's 1533-position model. The record is from RNAcentral.
ACAUAAAGAACAAGCGUUGUCCGGAAUAACUGGGCGUAAAGGGCACAUAGGUGGCCCAAUAAGUUAGGAGUGAAAGUCCUGCUUUCAAGGUGGGAAUUGCUUUUAAAACUGUUGGGCUUGAGUGUGGGAGAGGAUAGCGGAAUUCCCGGUGUAGCGGUGAAAUGCGUAGAGAUCGGGAGGAACACCAGUGGCGAAGGCGGCUAUCUGGACCAAAACUGACACUGAGGCGCGAAAGCGUGGGGAGCAAACAG